RNAcentral lists this ribosomal RNA (465 nucleotides) under uncultured bacterium. RNAcentral describes it as "partial 16S ribosomal RNA". It matches the Rfam family "Bacterial small subunit ribosomal RNA", at positions 339 to 795 of the family's 1533-position model. The record is from RNAcentral.
CUACGGGGGGCUCCAGUGGGGAAUAUUGGACAAUGGGGGAAACCCUGAUCCAGCAAUGCCGCGUGUGUGAAGAAGGCCUGCGGGUUGUAAAGCACUUUCGGUUGGGAGGACUGCUUCUAGCACUAAUAUUGUUGGAAGUUGACGUUACCUUCAGAAGAAGCACCGGCUAACUCCGUGCCAGCAGCCGCGGUAAUACGGGGGGUGCAAGCGUUAAUCGGAAUUACUGGGCGUAAAGCGCGCGUAGGCGGCUAGAUCAGUCGGGUGUGAAAGCCCCGGGCUUAACCUGGGAACUGCAUCCGAUACUGUCUAGCUUGAGUACAGGAGAGGAGAGUGCAAUUCCAGAUGUAGCGGUGAAAUGCGUAGAUAUGUGGAGGAACACCAAUGGCGAAGGCAGCUCUCUGGCCUGAUACUGACGCUGAGGUGCGAAAGCGUGGGGAGCAAACAGGAUUAGAUACCCCGGUAGUC